GACGAACGCUGGCGGCGUGCCUAAUACAUGCAAGUCGAGCGAAGUUUUUCUGGUGCUUGCACUAGAAAAACUUAGCGGCGAACGGGUGAGUAACACGUAAAGAACCUGCCUCAUAGACGGGGACAACUAUUGGAAACGAUAGCUAAUACCGGAUAACAGCAUAAAUCGCAUGAUAUAUGUUUGAAAGUUGGUUUCGGCUAACACUAUGAGAUGGCUUUGCGGUGCAUUAGCUAGUUGGUGGGGUAAAGGCCUACCAAGGCGACGAUGCAUAGCCGACCUGAGAGGGUGAUCGGCCACACUGGGACUGAGACACGGCCCAGACUCCUACGGGAGGCAGCAGUAGGGAAUCUUCCGCAAUGGGCGAAAGCCUGACGGAGCAACGCCGCGUGAGUGAAGAAGGAUUUCGGUUCGUAAAGCUCUGUUGUUAGGGAAGAAUGAUUGUAUAGUAACUAUAUACAGUAGAGACGGUACCUAACCAGAAAGCCACGGCUAACUACGUGCCAGCAGCCGCGGUAAUACGUAGGUGGCAAGCGUUGUCCGGAAUUAUUGGGCGUAAAGCGCGCGCAGGUGGUUUAAUAAGUCUGAUGUGAAAGCCCACGGCUCAACCGUGGAGGGUCAUUGGAAACUGUUAAACUUGAGUGCAGGAGAGAAAAGUGGAAUUCCUAGUGUAGCGGUGAAAUGCGUAGAGAUUAGGAGGAACACCAGUGGCGAAGGCGGCUUUUUGGCCUGUAACUGACACUGAGGCGCGAAAGCGUGGGGAGCAAACAGG
This 769-nucleotide ribosomal RNA is filed under the name uncultured bacterium. RNAcentral's name for it is "bacterial SSU rRNA". It matches the Rfam family "Bacterial small subunit ribosomal RNA", at positions 28 to 776 of the family's 1533-position model. The record is from RNAcentral.